GACGAACGUUGGCGGCGUGCUUAACACAUGCAAGUCGAACGGAAAGGCCCUGCUUUUGUGGGGUGCUCGAGUGGCGAACGGGUGAGUAACACGUGAGUAACCUGCCCUUGACUUUGGGAUAACUUCAGGAAACUGGGGCUAAUACCGGAUAGGAGCUCCUGCUGCAUGGUGGGGGUUGGAAAGUUUCGGCGGUUGGGGAUGGACUCGCGGCUUAUCAGCUUGUUGGUGGGGUAGUGGCUUACCAAGGCUUUGACGGGUAGCCGGCCUGAGAGGGUGACCGGCCACGUUGGGACGGGGGGACGGCCCAGAGUGCUACGGGAGGCAGCAGUGGGGAAUAUUGCACAAUGGGCGGAAGCCUGAUGCAGCAACGCCGCGUGCGGGAUGACGGCCUUCGGGUUGUAAACCGCUUUCGCCUGUGACGAAGCGUGAGUGACGGUAAUGGGUAAAGAAGCACCGGCUAACUACGUG
Molecule: ribosomal RNA, 468 nt
Filed under: uncultured bacterium
Lineage: Bacteria
Description: partial 16S ribosomal RNA
Rfam family: Bacterial small subunit ribosomal RNA
Source: RNAcentral